RNAcentral lists this ribosomal RNA (262 nucleotides) under uncultured bacterium. RNAcentral's name for it is "partial 16S ribosomal RNA". It matches the Rfam family "Bacterial small subunit ribosomal RNA", at positions 793 to 1055 of the family's 1533-position model. The record is from RNAcentral.
GUCCACGCCGUAAACGAUGGGCACUAGGUGUGGGGGUGUCGACUCCCUCCGUGCCGAAGCUAACGCAUUAAGUGCCCCGCCUGGGGAGUACGGCCGCAAGGCUAAAACUCAAAGGAAUUGACGGGGGCCCGCACAAGCAGCGGAGCAUGUGGUUUAAUUCGACGCAACGCGAAGAACCUUACCUGGGCUUGACAUGUGGCUGACCGACGUGGAAACACGUCUUCCCUUCGGGGCAGCUUCACAGGUGGUGCAUGGCUGUCGU